CCUACGGGCGGCAGCAGUGGGGAAUAUUGGACAAUGGGGGGAACCCUGAUCCAGCCAUGCCGCGUGUGUGAAGAAGGCCCUCGGGUUGUAAAGCACUUUCAGUGAGGAAGAACGCCUGGUGGUUAAUACCCAUCAGGAAAGACAUCACUCACAGAAGAAGCACCGGCUAACUCCGUGCCAGCAGCCGCGGUAAUACGGAGGGUGCGAGCGUUAAUCGGAAUUACUGGGCGUAAAGCGCGCGUAGGUGGCUUGAUAAGCCGGUUGUGAAAGCCCCGGGCUCAACCUGGGAACGGCAUCCGGAACUGUCAAGCUAGAGUGCAGGAGAGGAAGGUAGAAUUCCCGGUGUAGCGGUGAAAUGCGUAGAGAUCGGGAGGAAUACCAGUGGCGAAGGCGGCCUUCUGGACUGACACUGACGCUGAGGUGCGAAAGCGUGGGUAGCAAACAGGAUUAGAUACCCUUGUAGUC
This 465-nucleotide ribosomal RNA is filed under the name Vreelandella stevensii. Its description in RNAcentral is "partial 16S ribosomal RNA". It matches the Rfam family "Bacterial small subunit ribosomal RNA", at positions 338 to 795 of the family's 1533-position model. The record is from RNAcentral. Lineage: Bacteria; Pseudomonadati; Pseudomonadota; Gammaproteobacteria; Oceanospirillales; Halomonadaceae.